UGAUAUUGCAUCGUUUCAUUCUUCAUUUCCGCCUCUCCCUCUCUGCCGCACCCCGCAGCUACUUGUUUUGCUAGCAACCCACAGGCCACAGCCAGCUAGCAACCCACAACCCUACCCACAACCCCGCAGCCCCACAGCCUCACAACACCGCAACCCAGCAACCCCGCAGCCCCGCAACACCACAACCCAGCAACCCCGCAGCCAGCAACCUCGCAACCCCGCAGCCUCGCAACCACAGCCCCGCAACCCCGCAACCCGCAGCCGCACCCACAGCCCCGCCGUACUCCACAGCAAGCCGCAGUCCACAGCCGCAACCCACAGCAACGUCUGCCUCCACCGCCGCCCACAGACUCAACCCACAGGCCACAGCCUCUGUUUUCUGCCAUUAACAACCGGUCCACCGCCGGGGCCAAAACCAGUCCAAUUUGACUGGUUUCUCUAAUCCUUCGUGAUUUCUGGAACCACUCGAUGUUUCCGAAUCAUCUACAAUUGAAGAAAUUGAUCUUCCGGACAUUUGAAGGCUGUUUUUUGGAAUAUGUGAUGCUGUUUCUUGUGAUUUGUAAAGCUGGACUUGUGAAGCUGUACUUUUUCUUGUGAUUUCUGAAGGGGUUGUACUUUUUCUUGUGAUUUCUGAAGUUGGACAAUUUUUAAGCUAUGUAGCAGUGUUUUUCAUGGUUAUUUGGCUGUAGUUUGUGCGUUUAUUUGGCUGGCCAUAACCUGUUAUGGUAUAUUGGCUCUAAUGAAUGUUGUCUUGAAUGGAAUUAGACUGUAGUUUGUGUAUUUGUUUUGUUUUAUUCCUAAAGUUUGUGUUGGAUGGAUGUUAUGGUCAUAUUUGUCUUGGAUGAAAUGUGGUUAGAGUUUGUGUAUUGUUGAAUGUGAAUGCCAUUGGUUGCCAA
Coffea arabica (coffee) is the source of this 896-nucleotide long non-coding RNA. RefSeq lists it as uncharacterized. The record is from RefSeq and is a predicted model, not a curated record. Lineage: Eukaryota; Viridiplantae; Streptophyta; Magnoliopsida; Gentianales; Rubiaceae.